GUGUGCAGGACCUCCUUCCCUUCAUCCCCCUUGAAGCACUGCCCCACGAAGACAGCUGUGGAGUCUAAAGCAGUGGUGGCUGUCAGCAUCCCAACAGGACCCCAGCUGAUUCUGGAGCUUCACAGGCAUCAGUGAGUCUAGUGCUCAUGGAGCCUGAGUGGAUCCCGAUAUUUGCAGGAAAAUGGUGUGUGGCAGAGGUGUCAAAGCAACCCUUGGUGCUGCCACACCCAGACCUUGUUUUGGGAGGUGUACUGCUGUGUGCAGACACCAUCCAGAGUGGGGAGAGAUCAGGGAAGGAGGGACAGAGGACAGCAGAGAGAACAGAGGAAUUGGGAUGAGCACUGGGACCUGCCUGAGCUCCCUCUCCAUCCCACCACUCCAUCCAACAACAGCAAUCAUGCAGCUACAGACCUGAGAACUUCUUCCAGUUGACAGUGAAGCCAAAGGUGCACUGUCCAUCCUCAUCCAGGUGCUGGGAGCCAGUCAGUGGGGACGCCUGGAUGGGUUUCUUGGCGUUUGACACAGCAGUGUGGUACUCCCCAGAGAAGGUUCCGUCGUUGCCGACCUUGAACACUUGCAUCUUGGAGCCCAGAUCGUUCUCCCACCAGCCAGUCAGGUUGCACGGCUGGGGAUAAGCAGAUGUGUCCCUGGGGGCUGCCUGUACACAGCCCUUACAGGCUGAGCCCCCUGCCCACAGCCCCCGCUGCCCACGGGGUGCUGGCACUCACCUUGGUGUGCCUUCUGCUUUUCCCCAGGUAGCUGAAGAUUGCCUUUUCCUCUUUCUCACCGGCCUUUUCCUCCCCAGGGUGCUCAAUUCCCUGGCAGAGGAUCUUGGAAAAGAACACAAACAGCUACAUCAAGAGGGCCAAAAGCUGGGGCAAGCCAAGCAAAAGGGGAGAGGUGAAGAGGAAAAGUGAAAGGUGGGAGCCCUGGAAGGCAGGAACAUGGAUGGGACCCCUGCUGUAGCCCUGUCAGGAGCUCCCACCUGGAAGCCUGCCGCAGCCGCGGCCACGGACACCCCUGCAGGCAGGGCGAGAAG
Molecule: long non-coding RNA, 1039 nt
Organism: Passer domesticus (house sparrow)
Lineage: Eukaryota; Metazoa; Chordata; Aves; Passeriformes; Passeridae
Exons: 3
Source: RefSeq, a predicted model, not a curated record